This 253-nucleotide ribosomal RNA is filed under the name uncultured bacterium. RNAcentral describes it as "partial 16S ribosomal RNA". It matches the Rfam family "Bacterial small subunit ribosomal RNA", at positions 524 to 776 of the family's 1533-position model. The record is from RNAcentral.
UACAGAGGUCUCAAGCGUUGUUCGGAUUCAUUGGGCGUAAAGGGUGCGUAGGCGGCGUGGUAAGUCGGGUGUGAAAUCUCGGAGCUUAACUCCGAAACUGCAUUCGAUACUGCCGUGCUUGAGGACUGGAGAGGAGACUGGAAUUUACGGUGUAGCGGUGAAAUGCGUAGAUAUCGGAAGGAAGACCAGUGGCGAAGGCGGGUCUCUGGACAGUUCCUGACGCUGAGGCACGAAGGCCAGGGGAGCAAACGGG